Molecule: ribosomal RNA, 1489 nt
Filed under: Helicobacter pylori Hp H-29
Lineage: Bacteria; Pseudomonadati; Campylobacterota; Epsilonproteobacteria; Campylobacterales; Helicobacteraceae
Description: bacterial SSU rRNA
Rfam family: Bacterial small subunit ribosomal RNA
Source: RNAcentral
GAGUUUGAUCCUGGCUCAGAGUGAACGCUGGCGGCGUGCCUAAUACAUGCAAGUCGAACGAUGAAGCUUCUAGCUUGCUAGAAGUGGAUUAGUGGCGCACGGGUGAGUAACGCAUAGGUCAUGUGCCUCUUAGUUUGGGAUAGCCAUUGGAAACGAUGAUUAAUACCAGAUACUCCCUACGGGGGAAAGAUUUAUCGCUAAGAGAUCAGCCUAUGUCCUAUCAGCUUGUUGGUAAGGUAAUGGCUUACCAAGGCUAUGACGGGUAUCCGGCCUGAGAGGGUGAACGGACACACUGGAACUGAGACACGGUCCAGACUCCUACGGGAGGCAGCAGUAGGGAAUAUUGCUCAAUGGGGGAAACCCUGAAGCAGCAACGCCGCGUGGAGGAUGAAGGUUUUAGGAUUGUAAACUCCUUUUGUUAGAGAAGAUAAUGACGGUAUCUAACGAAUAAGCACCGGCUAACUCCGUGCCAGCAGCCGCGGUAAUACGGAGGGUGCAAGCGUUACUCGGAAUCACUGGGCGUAAAGAGCGCGUAGGCGGGAUAGUCAGUCAGGUGUGAAAUCCUAUGGCUUAACCAUAGAACUGCAUUUGAAACUACUAUUCUAGAGUGUGGGAGAGGUAGGUGGAAUUCUUGGUGUAGGGGUAAAAUCCGUAGAGAUCAAGAGGAAUACUCAUUGCGAAGGCGACCUGCUGGAACAUUACUGACGCUGAUUGCACGAAAGCGUGGGGAGCAAACAGGAUUAGAUACCCUGGUAGUCCACGCCCUAAACGAUGGAUGCUAGUUGUUGGAGGGCUUAGUCUCUCCAGUAAUGCAGCUAACGCAUUAAGCAUCCCGCCUGGGGAGUACGGUCGCAAGAUUAAAACUCAAAGGAAUAGACGGGGACCCGCACAAGCGGUGGAGCAUGUGGUUUAAUUCGAAGAUACACGAAGAACCUUACCUAGGCUUGACAUUGAGAGAAUCCGCUAGAAAUAGUGGAGUGUCUGGCUUGCCAGACCUUGAAAACAGGUGCUGCACGGCUGUCGUCAGCUCGUGUCGUGAGAUGUUGGGUUAAGUCCCGCAACGAGCGCAACCCCCUUUCUUAGUUGCUAACAGGUCAUGCUGAGAACUCUAAGGAUACUGCCUCCGUAAGGAGGAGGAAGGUGGGGACGACGUCAAGUCAUCAUGGCCCUUACGCCUAGGGCUACACACGUGCUACAAUGGGGUGCACAAAGAGAAGCAAUACUGCGAAGUGGAGCCAAUCUUCAAAACGCCUCUCAGUUCGGAUUGUAGGCUGCAACUCGCCUGCAUGAAGCUGGAAUCGCUAGUAAUCGCAAAUCAGCCAUGUUGCGGUGAAUACGUUCCCGGGUCUUGUACUCACCGCCCGUCACACCAUGGGAGUUGUGUUUGCCUUAAGUCAGGAUGCUAAAUUAGCUACUGCCCACGGCACACACAGCGACUGGGGUGAAGUCGUAACAAGGUAACCGUAGGUGAACCUGCGGUUGGAUCACC